Molecule: ribosomal RNA, 425 nt
Filed under: uncultured Paenibacillus sp.
Lineage: Bacteria; Bacillati; Bacillota; Bacilli; Caryophanales; Paenibacillaceae
Description: bacterial SSU rRNA
Rfam family: Bacterial small subunit ribosomal RNA
Source: RNAcentral
UAGGGAAUCUUCCGCAAUGGACGCAAGUCUGACGGAGCAACGCCGCGUGAGUGAGGAAGGCCUUCGGGUCGUAAAGCUCUGUUGCCAGGGAAGAAUGGCUUGCAGUUAACUGCUGCAAGUUUGACGGUACCUGAGAAGAAAGCCCCGGCUAACUACGUGCCAGCAGCCGCGGUAAUACGUAGGGGGCAAGCGUUGUCCGGAAUUAUUGGGCGUAAAGGGCGCGCAGGCGGCCGUUUAAGUCUCGUGUUUAAUCCCGGGGCUCAACCCCGGUACGCAUGGGAAACUGGAUGGCUUGAGUGCAGAAGAGGAGAGUGGAAUUCCACGUGUAGCGGUGAAAUGCGUAGAGAUGUGGAGGAACACCAGUGGCGAAGGCGGCUCUCUGGUCUGUAACUGACGCUGAGGCGCGAAAGCGUGGGUAGCGAACA